GAAUAUCAGCAAGAUUGAUCUGG
This 23-nucleotide microRNA is filed under the name Ascaris suum (pig roundworm). RNAcentral's name for it is "asu-miR-283-5p". Its record names the gene asu-miR-283-5p. Lineage: Eukaryota; Metazoa; Nematoda; Chromadorea; Rhabditida; Ascarididae. The record is from miRBase by way of RNAcentral.